Molecule: small RNA, 166 nt
Filed under: Sinorhizobium meliloti 2011
Lineage: Bacteria; Pseudomonadati; Pseudomonadota; Alphaproteobacteria; Hyphomicrobiales; Rhizobiaceae
Description: putative ncRNA
Source: RNAcentral
CGGCGGAAUCGUGGGGGAGGGCGCGGAACCGAGAAUCAGCCACGGCUUGUCGAUAAUGCCGAGUCGCGAGAGCCAGCGGCGGUGCUUUUCUCGCAGUUUUUCAAGCGCUUCAGGUUCAAUCGUCAUCUCGAAAUUCCAUUGAACAGGUAGGCGGGCGAGAUUCACU